This 508-nucleotide ribosomal RNA is filed under the name uncultured bacterium. RNAcentral describes it as "bacterial SSU rRNA". It matches the Rfam family "Bacterial small subunit ribosomal RNA", at positions 555 to 1069 of the family's 1533-position model. The record is from RNAcentral.
UGGGUUUAAAGGGAGCGUAGGCGGAUUAUUAAGUCAGUGGUGAAAGACGGUGGCUCAACCAUCGUUAGCCAUUGAAACUGGUAGUCUUGAGUGCAGACAGGGAUGCUGGAACUCGUGGUGUAGCGGUGAAAUGCUUAGAUAUCACGAUGAACUCCGAUCGCGAAGGCAGGUGUCCGGGCUGCAACUGACGCUGAGGCUCGAAAGUGUGGGUAUCAAACAGGAUUAGAUACCCUGGUAGUCCACACAGUAAACGAUGUAUACUCGCGGUUUGCGAUAUAAUGUAAGCCGCCAAGCGAAAGCAUUAAGUAUACCACCUGGGGAGUACGCCGGCAACGGUGAAACUCAAAGGAAUUGACGGGGGCCCGCACAAGCGGAGGAACAUGUGGUUUAAUUCGAUGAUACGCGAGGAACCUUACCCGGGCUUGAACUAAGAGUGACAGAUUUAGAGAUAGAUCUUUCUUCGGACACUCUUGGAGGUGCUGCAUGGUUGUCGUCAGCUCGUGUCGUG